This 444-nucleotide ribosomal RNA is filed under the name Triticum aestivum (bread wheat). RNAcentral describes it as "partial small subunit ribosomal RNA". Lineage: Eukaryota; Viridiplantae; Streptophyta; Magnoliopsida; Poales; Poaceae. The record is from RNAcentral.
AUGAGGAUGAGAAUGAUGGAAAGGUCAUGGGAGAAGCAACCAUAUAUAGGCAUGAUAUACAACACGGGUGUGAUUUUGGAUUUGGAUGAGGAAGACCAGCUUGCCAGGAUCAUCGACAUUGAGCAGGGGAACAUUGGUUCACGGUUUGUUCAUCGUUUCACACGCACCAACACCAGGAAGAAGUCAAUGAAAAUCCCCAACAAAGUGCGUGUGCUCCUGAAUAUUGGAGCUGAAGGUUUUAUUGGUGUUCGUUUGGGAGAAGGCCCGGUCUCCAGGGUUGGAUUCAAAACAUCCAAGGAUGGACGCAUGGUUUUCAGUAAGGAGUGGGGAAUUUUCGUGUCAACUCACAACUUGGAGGCAGGGAGUGCUGCUGUUUUCACCUUUCGUAGGAGCAAUACGGCCACCUUUGACGUGGUUUGUGUUGUUGACAUUCUGAGCAUAUGA